This 493-nucleotide ribosomal RNA is filed under the name uncultured bacterium. RNAcentral describes it as "partial 16S ribosomal RNA". It matches the Rfam family "Bacterial small subunit ribosomal RNA", at positions 29 to 523 of the family's 1533-position model. The record is from RNAcentral.
AUUGAACGCUGGCGGCAUGCUUUACACAUGCAAGUCGAACGGUAACAGGUUAAGCUGACGAGUGGCGAACGGGUGAGUAAUGCAUCGGAACGUGCCCGGUCGUGGGGGAUAACGCAGCGAAAGCUGCGCUAAUACUGCAUACGAUCUGAGGAUGAAAGCGGGGGACCGUAAGGCCUCGCGCGAUCGGAGCGGCCGAUGUCAGAUUAGGUAGUUGGUGGGGUAAAGGCUCACCAAGCCGACGAUCUGUAGCUGGUCUGAGAGGACGACCAGCCACACUGGGACUGAGACACGGCCCAGACUCCUACGGGAGGCAGCAGUGGGGAAUUUUGGACAAUGGGCGCAAGCCUGAUCCAGCAAUGCCGCGUGCAGGAAGAAGGCCUUCGGGUUGUAAACUGCUUUUGUACGGAGCGAAAAGGCUCUCUCUAAUACAGGGGGCUCAUGACGGUACCGUAAGAAUAAGCACCGGCUAACUACGUGCCAGCAGCCGCGGUAA